UACGUAGGGGGCAAGCGUUGUUCGGAUUUAUUGGGCUUAAAGGGUGCGUAGGCGGCUCUGUAAGUCAGUGCUGAAAUAUCCCAGCUUAACUGGGAGGGUGGCAUUGAUACUGCGGGGCUAGAGUACAGAUGAGGUAGGCGGAAUUGACGGUGUAGCGGUGAAAUGCUUAGAUAUCGUCAAGAACACCUAUAGCGAAGGCAGCUUACUAGGCUGUAACUGACGCUGAGGCACGAAAGUGUGGGGAGCAAACAGG
RNAcentral lists this ribosomal RNA (253 nucleotides) under uncultured bacterium. Its description in RNAcentral is "partial 16S ribosomal RNA". It matches the Rfam family "Bacterial small subunit ribosomal RNA", at positions 524 to 776 of the family's 1533-position model. The record is from RNAcentral.